RNAcentral lists this ribosomal RNA (494 nucleotides) under uncultured bacterium. Its description in RNAcentral is "partial 16S ribosomal RNA". It matches the Rfam family "Bacterial small subunit ribosomal RNA", at positions 28 to 507 of the family's 1533-position model. The record is from RNAcentral.
GACGAACGCUGGCGGCGCGCUUAACACAUGCAAGUCGAACGGAAAGGCCUGCUUUCCCUUGUGGAUUGCGGGUACUCGAGUGGCGAACGGGUGAGUAACACGUGAGUUAUCUGCCCCCAACUUGGGUAUAAGCCUGGGAAACUGGGUCUAAUUCCCGAUAGGACUGCAGGGUGGUGCCUGUGGUGGAAAACGAUUUUCUAGUGGUUGGGGAUGAGCUCGCGGCCUAUCAGCUUGUUGGUGGGGUAAUGGCCUACCAAGGCGGCGACGGGUAGCCGGCCUGAGAGGGUGGACGGCCACAUUGGGACUGAGAUACGGCCCAGACUCCGACGGGAGGUAGCAGUGGGGAAUAUUGCACAAUGGGCGGAAGCCUGAUGCAGCGACGCCGCGUGGGGGAUGACGGCCUUCGGGUUGUAAACUCCUUUCGACCGCGAGGAAGCCACCUGGUUGGAAGGGUGGUGACGGUAGUGGUAGAAGAAGCACCGGCUAACUACGUG